CCUGACUAUAUGUUUCUUCUUCAAGCUUCUACUUCGUAUAAUUCUGCCUUUUGAAUGUACUCUCUGAUAUAUUGCCUAUUUCUUCUUUCACAUACCCUAAACAUUAAGCCAGAACUUGUUAACUGCAAUUGAAUUUAUUUUGGAUUUUAUUUAUCUUCGCCCAGGAAUUUGCAAGAUUUCUUCGUGUUCUUGGCUGCUAUCCAACAGAUGCAACUCUUUAGGUGGUCACUGAACCUGCAAUGAAGAGAUUAUGAUUUAGCUUUUAUCACCGUACAUAUGCAUGCUUCUGAUAAAUCUGGAGGAAGAGAGAUAACUGGGAUAUGGUGAAGACAUGUUGAAGAGAGAUUACUGGGAUAUGGUGAAGACAUGUUGAUGAGAUGUUUGUUUCUCUUCGGCAUGAUCUCUCUUUCCAUUUUCAAUUUUCUCUUCUCCGUCGCCCCCCUCCCCC
This 448-nucleotide long non-coding RNA is filed under the name Populus trichocarpa (black cottonwood). Its description in RNAcentral is "long non-coding RNA (PTRI_LNC002637)". The record is from RNAcentral. Lineage: Eukaryota; Viridiplantae; Streptophyta; Magnoliopsida; Malpighiales; Salicaceae.